AAUGAGAGACGCGGGUUUCUCUCCCGUGCCCGCCCCGCUUUCCCCGCGGCCCCAAUGACCGCUCUAAAAGGGCCGGCUUCUGCUGUCAAGUAGCUGGGCUGGGCUCCGCCGAGGCUGGGAGGGACGCGGGGUGCGGAGAUGCGCUCCCAGGUGUUUGCAGCGCGAGUGGGAAACCUGUAGGUGAUGGUCCAGCUGUGCCGCGCCGACCCGAGCAGGAGCAGAGAACACAGAUAUCCAAUUUGGGUCAUUUCUGAAGCUGAAUUCAGAAAAAUCCUAAGGUAAGCUGUUUACUUGGAUUAUGUGUGUGUAUGUCUGUGUGUAUGUGUAUGUUUUAAAGGAUAAAAAUAAUAUAAUGAUAUUGGUUCCACUUUAACUUUUUGUAAUAUUUCUUAAUUAAAAAUAUUCAAAAAAAAGAGAGAGAGAGAAGGAGGCAAACCAUAAGAGACUCUUAACCAUAGACAGAAAACUGAGGCUUGCUGGAGGGAAGUGAGUGGGAGAUGGGCUAAAUGGGAAAUGGGUGUUAAAAAGGGUACUUGUGAUGAGCCCUGGGUGUUUUUGUAAGUGAUGAAUCACUAAGUUCUACUCCUGAAACCAAUAUUAUGCUAUAUGUUAACUAAUUAGAAUUUAAAUUAAAAAUUUAAAAAUAUAUCAAAACAUGUGAUAAAUUACUUGAUGACUACUUAAUAAAUGUCCUCUAACCUUUCUGCUAAAACCCAUAUGAGUAAAUCACUGUCCAAAUAUACAAAACAAUUAGAGAACAAUUAAUACCAAAUAGUGUAGUGGUCAAUGUUGCUGAGUCAAUAGAUGUUAGAAUGAACUAUCAAAUGUGGGCUAAUGGGGACGUGUCAUAGAAUUAAUAAUAAUAAUAAUACUAUUUAUUUAGCAUUAUAAUGUAGGCACUCUACUAAACACUUUAUGAAAUGCUUUAUUUCAUACAUUCCUCGUAAGUUCCUGAGGCCAAGGUAUUAUUAUUCUUAUUAACUCAUUUUAUGAUGAGAAACUUGAGGCAUGUCUAAAGUAUGUGAUGGUGAGUGGUAUGUUUAUCAGCUGAGGUCUAUCCCAUAUCAAGUUUUGGUUUUCUACCGCUAUAUAAACUGCCAAGAGAUAUAAGAGUUAGGCAGUAUUUUCUGAAGUUUGGAUUGACAGGACAAUGAGAAGUGAAUUUUUUUGCAGUAUGAAGACCACUUAACAAAAUUGUGAAAGAUGAUCUAGAUACACACUGUGCUUGAGUGACAAGUUAGAAUGAAGGGCAUUUGAGGAAAAUGUAAUAAAUAUUGUACAGCUGGAGUAGAUGGACGUUAUGGACCUAUUUUGAUGGCUAAUACUAAGUGAUUGUUCCCAUUUCAUCUCUAUUGUCCUCUAGCUGAAAAGUACUAAACUGGAUUUUUGCUGUUGUAGCUGAGUACAAUAAUCGACAAUAUGUUCAGAGUAACCAGGUAAAAACAAUUAAGAAUAAAGUGAUAGAAUUAGGAGGGAUCAUUGAAAAUUAUGUAGUCCUUUCAAGGCAUGAAAUGACAGCCUAAUCCUGAUAGAGGCAGUGGAAAUAGAGAGGCAUGCUAUUACCAGAAGACAUGAAAGCAAACAAAUAUGACAGGUCUUCAUGAUACAGUAGGCAAAAGGAAUAAAGGGGAAGGAAGAGCAGAAUUGGUUUCAAGUUUAUUCUUAUAGCCAAAAAAAAAAAAAAAAGCAAAACUGAUGAAAGGGGAAAAUUGAUAGCAAACUGAAAAAGUUUGGUUUUGCUUUUCUGUACCUGAAAGAUCAACGGGGCCCCGCAUUCAUAUCUAU
RNAcentral lists this long non-coding RNA (1785 nucleotides) under Canis lupus familiaris (dog). RNAcentral describes it as "lncRNA (ENSCAFG00040023135.1)". Lineage: Eukaryota; Metazoa; Chordata; Mammalia; Carnivora; Canidae. The record is from RNAcentral.